This 151-nucleotide long non-coding RNA is filed under the name Dendronephthya gigantea. RNAcentral's name for it is "uncharacterized LOC114543529". The record is from RNAcentral. Lineage: Eukaryota; Metazoa; Cnidaria; Anthozoa; Malacalcyonacea; Nephtheidae.
AGAUCGUUUAUCAAUUCGUGACAAUGUAAAGCUUGCAGAAAGCUCUGGAAAAACGAGGGGAACGUUGAGGAAUCAACUUGAAGGAUAUCUCUCGCAUUGGAGGACAAAAAUAGGAUUCAAAUCCAGGAAAAAUAUUCAGUCAAGAUCUGAC